AUUGAACGCUGGCGGCAGGCCUAACACAUGCAAGUCGAACGGUAACAGGAAGCAGCUUGCUGCUUUGCUGACGAGUGGCGGACGGGUGAGUAAUGUCUGGGAAACUGCCUGAUGGAGGGGGAUAACUACUGGAAACGGUAGCUAAUACCGCAUAACGUCGCAAGACCAAAGAGGGGGACCUUAGGGCCUCUUGCCAUCGGAUGUGCCCAGAUGGGAUUAGCUAGUAGGUGGGGUAACGGCUCACCUAGGCGACGAUCCCUAGCUGGUCUGAGAGGAUGACCAGCCACACUGGAACUGAGACACAGUCAAGACUCCUACGGGAGGCAGCAGUGGGGAAUAUUGCACAAUGGGCGCAAGCCUGAUGCAGCCAUGCCGCGUGUAUGAAGAAGGCCUUCGGGUUGUAAAGUACUUUCAGCGGGGAGGAAGGGAGUAAAGUUAAUACCUUUGCUCAUUGACGUUACCCGCAGAAGAAGCACCGGCUAACUCCGUG
Molecule: ribosomal RNA, 490 nt
Filed under: uncultured bacterium
Lineage: Bacteria
Description: partial 16S ribosomal RNA
Rfam family: Bacterial small subunit ribosomal RNA
Source: RNAcentral